RNAcentral lists this ribosomal RNA (438 nucleotides) under uncultured bacterium. Its description in RNAcentral is "bacterial SSU rRNA". It matches the Rfam family "Bacterial small subunit ribosomal RNA", at positions 62 to 507 of the family's 1533-position model. The record is from RNAcentral.
UCGAGUGCGCGGUAGCAAUACUGGCGCACGGCGCACGGGUGCGUAACACGUGGGUAACCUGCCCUGCAAUGGGGGAUAACCCGCCGAAAGGCGGGCUAAUACCGCAUGACAUUCCGGUGGCUUCGGACGCCGGAAUCAAAGCCCGCAAGGGCGUUGGAGGAGGGGCCCGCGGCCGAUUAGCUAGUUGGUGAGGUAACGGCUCACCAAGGCUGUGAUCGGUAGCCGGUCUGAGAGGAUGGCCGGUCACACUGGAACUGAGACACGGUCCAGACUCCUACGGGAGGCAGCAGUGGGGAAUCUUGCGCAAUGGGCGAAAGCCUGACGCAGCGACGCCGCGUGGGGGAUGAAGCUUCUCGGAGUGUAAACCCCUUUCGACCCGGACGAAACGCCCGCAAGGGUUUGACGGUACGGGUAUAAGAAGCCCCGGCUAACUACGUG